ACUGCCCAAUGACCAACGCUUUGUCCAAUAUUAACAGAUUUGUGUGUUCACUAAAACAAGUAAGUCUAAAUUUAUAGAUGCAAAACAAGAGAGUAGUAGAUGCAACUUUGCAGAUACAGAACGUGCAUAGAUGACCAAUAUCAGUAUCAAGUAUCAACACAUCACGAAUAGCAGUGUGGGCUAGUUCAUGCUUGUUAUUCAGUAAGCAAGAAAGAGGGCCUGGACUUCCAUGGUAAUCAAGAGUUCUAUGGCAGUAAGGAAGAAUAGGCAAAUAUAUAUAGUCAGUAUAUAGAUGGAGGAUCUGUACAUUGCAGCAAGUAAAUUGGCAAGGAGAGUCGCGAUCCACUCACUGGUAACUCAUUUUACAUCAUUGAGCCAGUCAGCAUGGCAGUACGAUGCAAGUAGCA
This 407-nucleotide long non-coding RNA is filed under the name Sorghum bicolor (sorghum). RNAcentral describes it as "long non-coding RNA (SBIC_LNC007575)". The record is from RNAcentral. Lineage: Eukaryota; Viridiplantae; Streptophyta; Magnoliopsida; Poales; Poaceae.